RNAcentral lists this ribosomal RNA (382 nucleotides) under uncultured bacterium. RNAcentral describes it as "bacterial SSU rRNA". It matches the Rfam family "Bacterial small subunit ribosomal RNA", at positions 521 to 896 of the family's 1533-position model. The record is from RNAcentral.
UAAUACAGAGGAGCCAAGCGUUGUCCGGAUUGACUGGGCGUAAAGCGCACGCAGGCGGAGGUGCGCGUGGGGUGUGAAAUCUGGCCGCUUAACGGCCAGGCGCCAUCCCAUACGGCACGUCUGGAGCGAUGCAGAGGUCGGUGGAAUUGCCGGUGUAGUGGUGAAAUGCGUAGAGAUCGGCAGGAACACCCAGGGGGAAACCAGCCGACUGGGCAUCAGCUGACGCUGAGGUGCGAGAGCGUGGGGAGCGAACCGGAUUAGAUACCCGGGUAGUCCACGCCGUAAACGAUGGCCACUCGGCCUUUGAGGGCGGAAUCUCCGUUCUUGGGGGCCUUAGCAAACGCGGGAAGUGGCCCGCCUGGGAACUACGAGCGCAAGCUUA